RNAcentral lists this ribosomal RNA (497 nucleotides) under uncultured bacterium. RNAcentral describes it as "partial 16S ribosomal RNA". It matches the Rfam family "Bacterial small subunit ribosomal RNA", at positions 28 to 507 of the family's 1533-position model. The record is from RNAcentral.
GAUGAACGCUGGCGGCGUGCCUAAUACAUGCAAGUCGAGCGAACGGACGAGAAGCUUGCUUCUCUGAUGUUAGCGGCGGACGGGUGAGUAACACGUGGAUAACCUACCUAUAAGACUGGGAUAACUUCGGGAAACCGGAGCUAAUACCGGAUAAUAUUUUGAACCGCAUGGUUCAAAAGUGAAAGACGGUCUUGCUGUCACUUAUAGAUGGAUCCGCGCUGCAUUAGCUAGUUGGUAAGGUAACGGUUUACCAAGGCAACGAUGCAUAGCCGACCUGAGAGGGUGAUCGGCCACACUGGAACUGAGACACGGUCCAGACUCCUACGGGAGGCAGCAGUAGGGAAUCUUCCGCAAAGGGCGAAAGCCUGACGGAGCAACGCCGCGUGAGUGAUGAAGGUCUUCGGAUCGUAAAACUCUGUUAUUAGGGAAGAACAUAUGUGUAAGUAACUGUGCACAUCUUGACGGUACCUAAUCAGAAAGCCACGGCUAACUACGUG